GGGCGUGUAGCUCAGCUGGGAGAGCAUCUGCUUUGCAAGCAGGGGGUCGCCGGUUCGAUCCCGGCCACGUCCACCA
This 76-nucleotide transfer RNA is filed under the name Acidobacteriota bacterium. RNAcentral's name for it is "Acidobacteria bacterium tRNA-Ala". It matches the Rfam family "tRNA". Rfam says of the family: Transfer RNA (tRNA) molecules are approximately 80 nucleotides in length. Their secondary structure includes four short double-helical elements and three loops (D, anti-codon, and T loops). The record is from RNAcentral. RNAcentral also lists the same sequence under 5 other names. Lineage: Bacteria; Pseudomonadati; Acidobacteriota.